This 839-nucleotide ribosomal RNA is filed under the name uncultured bacterium. Its description in RNAcentral is "bacterial SSU rRNA". It matches the Rfam family "Bacterial small subunit ribosomal RNA", at positions 656 to 1503 of the family's 1533-position model. The record is from RNAcentral.
AGUGGGCGGAAUGUGUCAUGUAGCGGUGAAAUGCUUAGAUAUGACACAGAACACCGAUAGCGAAGGCAGCUCACUAAGCUGAAACUGACGCUCAUGCACGAAAGCGUGGGGGAUCAAACAGGAUUAGAUACCCUGGUAGUCCACGCUGUAAACGAUGAUCACUCGUUGUCUGGCGAUAUACUGUCAGCGACCUGAGCGAAAGCAUUAAGUGAUCCACCUGGGGGAGUACGACGGCAACGUUGAAACUCAAAGGAAUUGACGGGGGCCCGCACAAGCGGAGGAGCAUGUGGUUUAAUUCGAUGAUACGCGAGGAACCUUACCUGGGCUUAAAUGUAGGACGACCUCCGGCGAAAGCCGGAUUUCCUUCGGGACGUCCUGCAAGGUGCUGCAUGGUUGUCGUCAGCUCGUGCCGUGAGGUGUCGGGUUAAGUCCCAUAACGAGCGCAACCCUUAUUCUUAGUUGCCAUCAGGUAAAGCUGGGAACUCUAAGAAAACUGCCUACGCAAGUAGUGAGGAAGGUGGGGAUGACGUCAAAUCAGCACGGCCCUUAUGUCCAGGGCGACACACGUGCUACAAUGGUUGGUACAGAGGGUUGCUACCAGGUGACUGGAUGCUAAUCUCGAAAGCCGAUCUCAGUUCGGAUCGAAGUCUGCAACUCGACUUCGUGAAGUUGGAUUCGCUAGUAAUCGCGCAUCAGCCAUGGCGCGGUGAAUACGUUCCCGGGCCUUGUACACACCGCCCGUCAAGCCAUGGGAGUUGGGGGUACCUGAAGUUCGUAACCGCAAGGAGCGACCUAGGGUAAAACCAAUGACUGGGGCUAAGUCGUAACAAGGUAGCCGU